RNAcentral lists this ribosomal RNA (639 nucleotides) under Mrakia gelida. RNAcentral's name for it is "eukaryotic LSU rRNA". It matches the Rfam family "Eukaryotic large subunit ribosomal RNA", at positions 1 to 626 of the family's 3401-position model. The record is from RNAcentral. Lineage: Eukaryota; Fungi; Basidiomycota; Tremellomycetes; Cystofilobasidiales; Mrakiaceae.
CCUCAAAUCAGGUAGGACUACCCGCUGAACUUAAGCAUAUCAAUAAGCGGAGGAAAAGAAACUAACAAGGAUUCCCCUAGUAACGGCGAGUGAAGCGGGAUGAGCUCAAAUUUAAAAUCUGGCGGCCUCAGGUCGUCCGAGUUGUAGUCUAGAGAAUCGUUUUCCGCGUUGGCCUGUGUACAAGUCCCUUGGAACAGGGCGUCAUAGAGGGUGAGAAUCCCGUCCUUGACACAGACUACCAAUGCUUUGUGAUGCGAUCUCGAAGAGUCGAGUUGUUUGGGAAUGCAGCUCAAAAUGGGUGGUAAAUUCCAUCUAAAGCUAAAUAUUGGCGAGAGACCGAUAGCGAACAAGUACCGUGAGGGAAAGAUGAAAAGCACUUUGGAAAGAGAGUUAAACAGUACGUGAAAUUGUUAAAAGGGAAACGAUUGAAGUCAGUCAUGCUUUCCGAGACUCAGCCGAUUCUGUCGGUGUACUUCUCGGUUGGCAGGCCAGCAUCAGUUUCGAUCUGUGGAAAAGGUUGGAGGGAACGUGGCAUCCUCGGAUGUGUUAUAGCCCUUCUUCGAAUACAUAGAGCGGGACUGAGGAACGCAGCGCGCCUUUUAUUAGGUUGGCCCUCGGGUACAUACGCGCUUAGGAUGC